GGGGAUAGUGGCUACCCCUGUCGGCCAUUUCUGCUAACACCUUUCUUGCAGCCUGGGAAUGAAACAGAGGAGAGGUACAACCGGGCGCACAUCUCCACACGGAAUUUGGUUGAAAGGACAUUUGGUGUAUGGAAGAGGACAUUCCAUGUUUUACAUGGGGAAAUACGCAUGAAGCCUCAGAGGGUGACACGUGUAAUCGUGGCGUGUGCUGUCCUCCAUAAUCUGAGGCUGCAGUGGGGUGAACCAGAGGUGGAAGAAGCCGGUGAUCUGGAUCAGCCUCCCGCCGACAUCUUUAAUGGCCGAAUGGAUGGGCGAGGAGUUCGAGACCAUGUGGCUCGUGCUUAUUUUCAGAAUCAGUAAUAACAGAAGAAACCGAUGAUUAAAUCACACCAUACAUUGACGUUUUAUGGAAAGUGAAGACUUGACACUUUUAACACCAAUUUAUUUUGGUUUCAUAAUUUAUUUUCAUAUUUCAGCUUUUAUAUAUAUUCAGAAGUCUGGAAUGACAUAUAAUGUACAUGUAUCAACUAUCAAGAAUUACUGAGAUAAUAAUUUCAAAAGUUAUUUGAAUUUCUCGAUUAAAACAUCGGCUAGCUUUGAAA
Long non-coding RNA from Mercenaria mercenaria, 602 nucleotides. RefSeq lists it as uncharacterized. The transcript has 3 exons. The record is from RefSeq and is a predicted model, not a curated record. NCBI's taxonomy places the organism in Eukaryota, Metazoa, Mollusca, Bivalvia, Venerida, Veneridae.